GACAGAAGGUGCAAGCGUUACUCGGAAUUACUGGGCGUAAAGCGUCUGUAGGUUUUUGACCACGUCUGGCGUGAAAUUUCGGGGCUCAACCCCGUCCCCACGCUGGAAACGAGUCGGAUAGAGUCAUUCAGAGGCAUCUGGAAUGUCGUGUGUAGGGGUGAAAUCCGUAGAUCUACGAAGGAACGCCAAAAGCGAAGGCAGCUCUCUGGGUCCCUACCGACGCUGGGGUGCGAAAGCAUGGGGAGCGAACAGG
RNAcentral lists this ribosomal RNA (253 nucleotides) under uncultured bacterium. RNAcentral describes it as "partial 16S ribosomal RNA". It matches the Rfam family "Bacterial small subunit ribosomal RNA", at positions 524 to 776 of the family's 1533-position model. The record is from RNAcentral.